RNAcentral lists this ribosomal RNA (253 nucleotides) under uncultured bacterium. RNAcentral describes it as "partial 16S ribosomal RNA". It matches the Rfam family "Bacterial small subunit ribosomal RNA", at positions 524 to 776 of the family's 1533-position model. The record is from RNAcentral.
UACGGGGGGGGCAAGCGUUGUUCGGAAUUACUGGGCGUAAAGGGCUCGUAGGCGGCCAACUAAGUCGGAUGUGAAAUCCCCAGGCUCAACCUGGGAACUGCAUCCGAUACUGGAUGGCUUGAAUUCGGGAGAGGGAUGUGGAAUUCCAGGUGUAGCGGUGAAAUGCGUAGAUAUCCGGAGGAACACCGGUGGCGAAGGCGGCUUCCUGGACCGACACUGACGCUGAGGCGCGAAAGCCAGGGGAGCAAACGGG